RNAcentral lists this long non-coding RNA (6192 nucleotides) under Gallus gallus (chicken). Lineage: Eukaryota; Metazoa; Chordata; Aves; Galliformes; Phasianidae. The record is from RNAcentral.
CAAGAAAGGGAGGAGAAAAUGAGGUCGUCAUGGAAGCAAAAAAGCACACAUCUACUUAGGAAAGAAAUCUGUAAAGCAAUCUGGUGGCAGUGCUGUAUUUUUCCCAUCUCUUCAUAUGGACCUCUAUCAGAUUUUAGCAUCUCUGCGUUGGUAGGAAGAAUGGUAAUACCAACCAGCAAGUAGCUGUGUUCCCCAGGCUCUGUGCUGGGUCUGGGAUUUUUCAGCAUCUUCACAGUGAUCUGAACGAAGGGAUUGAGUGCACCCUCAGCAUGUUUGCUCAUGUUACAAAGCUGGCAGCGGUGGCUGAUGCACCAGAAGGCUGUGCUGCACUUCUCUACAGGCAGCUGCAUGGAGCGGGCUGUAGUUAAUUUGUUUUUAAUAACAGCAGAUACUUUAAUUUCAUGAAAACAUUCUGUUUUCAGACCCUAAGAAGUUGCUUCUGCCUAAUGGGGUCCCUAAUGGUUGCAUCUAAGAAGUUUGUAUGAAUAUUUUAUAGGUUAUGAAGAUCGACCUUCUUACACAUUUGGAGGAAAUAAACAGGGGAGACCACAUGAGAAAACACUUGCAAUUUGAUACAGGAAAAUCUGGGCAAAGUAAUUCUGAUAUAACUGUGGGACUGUGUGUCUCAACAAGCUUAGGCAUCAAAUAUAUUUGGCUUAAGAAUUAAAACAACAAACUCUGGCAGCAUAGAAUUAAGCUGCCUGCAUUGGCAGCUGAACCUUGGAUCAGGGACUCAGGGUGAAGUCCUUUGAAGUGCAUUUCUAACUGCAGUUGGAGUUGAAAUCCAUCAAGGUUAGGCUUGAAUUCUUCACAGAGGUACAAACUGGAUCCUGCUGUGCUCUGUAUCUGAGAGCAGCAUUACAACAGCAGGUGUGGAUGGGACCACCUCUCCAGAACCGUGUGGACGUGGCCUGGAAUUGCCUUCCAUCUCUGUUGCUGCGUGCAGCAGGCUCAGGACAAUGUUUUCACAUUUACUUUCUAUUGCUGGCAUAGGGCAUUAGGAUUUCUUAAUCUGACUUUUUUGUCUCAUUGAUUACCUGUGAUACUCAGGGUUGCAUGCCUUGCACUGGUCCUAUGGUGAUCUUAAAAACAAUGAGGACUGAGGCUGCUGUGUUUGCAGAGGAGUCUUUCCUGGUGUGUACACAAGUGCUACAUCCCCUGCACCCUGUACUGCUGCAGCUUUGCAAAUCCUUUCUGACAAGGCAUGCUUCUGGAUGUGCAUACACACAAGCACCCAGUCAGCCACGUGCAGUAACCCAAGGUGGUUACAUCACCAAGAAAACAAAUUCUUCGUUCUCAGCUAGAGCAGCAUAAUGGAAAUCAACACCCAUCAGCCUGAUGCUGAUAACUUCAGUCAGUGCUAAAAGCAGUUGAAUUUCUGAAGCUGGCUGCUGCUGGCACGUAGGCACUGUGCUUUCUGAGUGCCAUCUAUUGAGGCUGUUCUCUGCUCUGCCUGAACAAGUGCAGCUUCCUGCUCUAAACACACAGCAUGAGCAGAAAUCUGUGAGCAGCAGUGUGCAAACAGGCAGAGGGUGACCUUUCUCCAGCAUUACGUCCUGGAGUCAGCCUCUGAGGUGCCAAAUCCAGAGCUAAUUACUUCUUCUCAGGAGAUGCUGCUCUUUGCUGCCUCACAGGGAUGCCAUUUGCUCACCACCUGCGUGGCUGUUCAGGUGGAUGGAGGAGCUCUGUUUGCAUGGGUCCCUGCAUCCUCUCCUCUGCCUUUAAAGUCCUCCUCCCCAGCAGUUUUGAUUUGCAGAGAAGCUGAAGGGAUUCCUCAGCUGCUUCAGUCUCUCGGAUGGACAGAACUGCGCAGCAUGAGGGCAUUGCCUCAUUGGGAGCUUACACUGAAAACAAAAUAACAAAAUAACCCCAAAAGAGACCUGCUGUGGUGUAUGUAAGGCACAUACGGAGCUAUUCUGACCUCUGGAAUGUUGAAAGCAGCUGAGGGUGCUGCUGGGGGUGAGCACCUGCCCUAAAGCACUGGCAGGAUUUGUUGGUCCAUGCGGUGAUGCUCAGCUGAAAGGAUGCUGACUGCUGAAUAAUCAUGCUGCCAUAGGAAGGAAGCAUUUCUCAUGUAAUUGGCAAACUUAAAAUAGUUCGUUACUAUAGGCAAAAUAUGCUUCCUGUAACCUUUUAAAUUGACUUAAUGCUUACACUUAUUAAAGUUAGGCUUUCUGAGCACACCUGUGAGCUGAUGGGAACUUGUUUCUGCAAGGAGGAGAAUUAAAGCCAGCAUUUAAUUUUGCCCUUGUCUCUGGUGACCUCCUUACUUGGAACAGUGAUGUUUUCUUUUGUACUCUGUGCAGCCCAUGUGGAAAAAAUAGGCUGUCUCCUUGGGAUCAGUUUGCCUCUUUAUUGCAGAGGAGCAGCCGAGCUGAAUUCCACACACAGACACCAAACUGCAUUCCUCAGUGCACCUCAGUGCUGAUAUUAGCAAAGCUCCGGGGCCAGCAUUAAUCUAUGUGAUGUUUAUACCCUACUGUAUCGUACGAGCUUUACAAAACUGACAUGAAAACUCAUUGCUUGUCUGCAGUGAGCGCACAGCAUCCCGUGCACACACGAGGUGUGCAGUGAGCAAUGCUGUCACAGUGCUGCCAGCACAGAGCAGUCAUCCGGGGCCAUGGCAGGAGAUGCCUUUCUUUGAGCUCUGUUUGAUUUCUGCUGCUCUCAGGUGCCACUUUGGAGAUUUCAAAGGGCUGGGUUCAAAGAGCAGUCAAUGAAUGGAAUUUCAGAUAUAGAAAUAUUCCGUAAAUGUUACUCUCUUGGCUUUACUUUCAUCCCUAUUUCUGAAUAUUUGUGGUUGGGUAAAGCUGCUCUGCUGGAAGUUGUGCUCUGAGGACACAGCUCGGUGUGAAAGGGGUAAGGCAGAAGAUGGGGAACACUUAGCAAGAUAAAUUCUGGAGAGGGGGAAGAAGGCCACAGGUAAACACAUUCUGACUGUCGGAGAAGUUAGUUGGAAAAUGAUUCACUGCGCAGAAAGAUUUGCCAAUGUAGGAUUUCAAAUGCAAUAAAAUAAUGACUUCAGGUGUAUCAAAAAAAGAGGUUUCGAAGGGUCCUCCUUACAGGAAAACCCGAAGUAAGGAAUGGAUCCACUGGAGAGAAGUGUGUGAUCAGCAGGGAGCUCUGAAGGGCACUGAAGGCGCCGUGUGCUUUGGAGGCUGCAGCUGAACAGCUGAUAAAAGGUUUUUCUUCUGCACCUCUGAGUUUGAUGAGUGUGAAGGCAUUUCACUUCCUCAGGGUUUGUCCCGAGGGUAUUUGGGCCCUACAGUUAUUUAUUUGUUCUUUUAAUGGAAUAGGGAGAUACUUCACAGGAAAGUUAGCAUCAGAUUUCUUGCUUUUGACCAUCAGACAUGGCUUCCACCCAAUACAUACUUCUCAAGGCAUUGAAUAAAGGUGGCAUUUGUCCUGUGGUUUUUUUCCCUCAUCUGAUUUGCUAAAUUGCACAAUCACCAUUAAUUAACAAGAGGACAGAUAUCAAGGAGACGUUGGGAGCAGUGGUUUAGAAAGCAAAGAAGUGCAUUGCUACUAUAGUCAGAACAAAUGAUCAGACAUAACAGCGGUUUGGAAACUUAAUGAGCUUUUGCUAUGGCUGAGUUUGAGCAGCAGAAGUUUCAGCUGUGUGUGCCUGGCUGCUCCUGCCAAGGAAUUAACCUUAAAUUCCAUCUUGGAAAAACGUGAGAAGAUGACCAGGUUUCCUUGGAACAAUGACACAUCUUCUGCCAGGGAAAGCAUCAGCCUUUCCACUGACUUAAGGCUCCUGGCAAAAAGCAGUUCUUCAUCAUUCUGCCAUCUUGCUGUUCCUACAGAUGUGUGCUGUGUUUGAGAUGAACCCCACGGAGGUUUUGCUCACCCGUGGCCACGUGGCCAGCUCAGCCCCAUGCCUGGCAGCUCACUGACCUCCUUCCUCCUGCAGCACUGGUGCUGCUCAGCACAGCUGGAUGGUUCCAGCACCCAGUAAGGCUAACCAGCCUGAUCCCUCCCAGCAAACCCAAUUGUGAUGUGGCUUUUCUGAGUCUAAAGAGACCAGUUGUGUUCAUUUUAUCUCUGUAGCUAUUUUAGUUGGCUAUGAAAGGUAUUUUUCACAUGAUGAGAACGUGCACUGGCAUUGCGUUAUGCACAGGUAGUUGCAGUUUGCCCAUUGCUGCACCGCAGGUUUUGCGGCAGUAAUGGAUGCGCUGCGUUUCCUGCAUGUGGACCCAAGGAAAAGACAUGUCAGCAGAUGCACCUGCUGCUCAGGGCCAGGGAUCCACGUGCCAUGCAGGCAGGAUCACACUAGAGCUGACACUGUGCCGCUCCAGACAAACAAAUGAGACUGUAAAGCGCCUGCUGCUUUGCUCCAAGCUCAGACCUGCCAGAGUUUGAUGCGAGGAUUAUUCUUGGAGGGAGAGCAGAAGGAGCUUCCAAAGCCAUGUCGGGGAGAACAGCAGAGAGCAUUUGUUUUGUUCCUGCUAACCUCAUCCUGCACAUGCAUACAGUUGUGAAACUACCAUGCCUUUGAGUAAGACUUGUGCGUGUGCCAUAUCAUAACUGGCUUUCCCUCCCAUGUUGUUGUUUAUCUCUGCAAGAGGAAUGGCCAGUAAAUCAGUAAAUCACUCUGCAGGGGACUCCUGUAAUCACUGCCUUAGCUGCUAGCUUACUGGAGAUGAGCUGCUUUUUCUCUGAUGGUGGGGAGACCACAGUAACCAGCAGCAUUUCUAAGCCAGCCCUGCCUGUAAAUGUUAUCAGUAAAGUCUUGGCUAGCAAGUGCUGCUCUUUCCUGGCAGAGCUGUAUACCAACAAGGUAUGUAACUUCAUUUUGUCUUCCAAAUUACCAAUUUGAAACUGUUGUCAUUGGAGUGAAUGGGUUCUGUGAGAUUGUGUUUGCUUCUAGGGCUGGUUUCCUGUUCUUGGAAAUAUCUGCUGCUGUUUGGUCUGUUUUCAUUACUCACUGCUGGGCAGUUGUUGGUUGCAUUCAGUGUUACUGCAGCUCCUAUUGGUCAGUGGCAUGCAGUGAUUUAAUGUCAUGUAAUGCAGGAGGAGGAGGAAUUCCACACCUGCUCCAGGGUUUGGUAUGUCAGUUCUCGGGCAGUAUGUGCAGAGCAGAGACCCGCAAGAUAUACUGAUCUCAGUAACUUUGGAGCAGCAUUAAUGCACAUCUACUAACAGAGCAAAGCAGAAAUGACACCACGUGUGUUCAGGGAGUGUAAGUGAACCUUGAGGGAAUUGUACUUCAAGAGCAGUUAUGUUACAGGGUAUAACCAACAGGUCUCCCCAUGCAUGCAGUUCUCUCUCUCUCGGUAGGUGUGAGUCUGGCUGGUGGAAGAGGGAUGAUUGCUCAGCUUGCAGGAUCUCCAUAGCCCAGAAGGGACAUUCAGAGCACUUCUGCAUGGCUGCUGGCCCUCUCAGGAGUUGCUUCAACCUCUGAUUUAGCACCCGUAGGCCAGGAGUUUGUCUAAGGGGAUACUGAGAAGCCCUAAAAUGAAAGCAAACUCCGUGGGUGUGAAGGCAGUGAAUAGAAACCAGCAGCUUAAUCCUCAGGUAGCUCUGCUCUUUCAAAUGAAAAGUGAUCUCAGUUUGGUGUAACUCAGCCCUCCUACACACAGGGACUUCACGCCUACGGAUGAUUCACUUUCUAUUUCUGGAGAGGUCGUGUACAGACUUGGCUCGACAUGAAUCCAAAUGGGUGCGCAUUACAGUAUGUGUAAAAGGAAAGGUGAUGCAAUGCCACCUUUUCUUAACCGGACCUAUGCCUUUUCCUACCUCUUCUCACGCUGCAUAGAACUGGGUGCUGUGCACGUCAGAGAGCUGCAGGGAUGUGCUGCAAUGAGGCAGGGCCUGGAAUGCCAUCGUGGGCAGAUGGAGUGGGUGCACAGACCCUAAAUAGGCACAGGGCGCACUAAGGGAUGGAAACUUCUCUCCCCGAGUAGGAAACCUGCUUUUGAUUGACCUGCAGCUCCCUGGAACCUGACAAACGUGGAAAAUACUGCCAUGCAUUGGCUUUCCUUUAACUGCAGGUUUUGUUUUGGGGUUAUGUUUUUCAUUUGAAUACGUAGUAGCACUUCAAAUACGAAAUUUGAUAGUAAAUAGCAAUGAUACUGUCAUAUUUAAUCAUGUUUAUGGCAGCAUGCAACACACUGUUACGCACACAGAGAAGUCCAUCUAACUGAUAUAUCGCUUUCUGGAAUGCAGUUUUUGGGUGUAAUUAAACUCGCC